RNAcentral lists this ribosomal RNA (272 nucleotides) under uncultured methanogenic archaeon. RNAcentral's name for it is "partial 16S ribosomal RNA". It matches the Rfam family "Archaeal small subunit ribosomal RNA", at positions 319 to 592 of the family's 1478-position model. The record is from RNAcentral. Lineage: Archaea; Methanobacteriati; Methanobacteriota.
UCCCUACGGGGGGCAGCAGGCGCGAAAACUUUACAAUGCGGGAAACCGUGAUAAGGGGACCCCGAGUGCCAGCAUCAUAUGCUGGCUGUCCGGAUGUGUAAAAUACAUCCGUUAGCAAGGGCCGGGCAAGACCGGUGCCAGCCGCCGCGGUAACACCGGCGGCCCGAGUGGUGAUCGUGAUUAUUGGGUCUAAAGGGUCCGUAGCCGGUUUGGUCAGUCCUCCGGGAAAUCUGAUAGCUUAACUAUUAGGCUUUCGGGGGAUACUGCCAGAC